AUACGGAGGAUCCGAGCGUUAUCCGGAUUUAUUGGGUUUAAAGGGUGCGCAGGCGGCCAUUUAAGUCAGCGGUUAAAUCGUGGGGCUCAACCCCAUUCUGCCGUUGAUACUGGGUGGCUUGAUUGCGGUCGAGGUUGGCGGAAUUCGUUGUGUAGCGGUGAAAUGCAUAGAUAUGACGAAGAACACCGAUUGCGUAGGCAGCUGACCAGACCGCAAAUGACGCUCAUGCACGAAAGUGCGGGGAUCGAACAGGAUUAGAUACCCUGGAAGUCCGCACAGUAAACGAUGAAUACUUGUUUUCGGCGAUAUAAUGUCGGAGGCAAAGCGAAAGCGAUAAGUAUUCCACCUGGGGAGUACGCCGGCAACGGUGAAACUCAAAUGAAUUGACGGGG
This 392-nucleotide ribosomal RNA is filed under the name uncultured bacterium. RNAcentral describes it as "partial 16S ribosomal RNA". It matches the Rfam family "Bacterial small subunit ribosomal RNA", at positions 523 to 918 of the family's 1533-position model. The record is from RNAcentral.